GUUAAGUCAGAUGUGAAAGCCCCGGGGCUCAACCUCGGAACUGCAUUUGAAACUGGCAGACUAGAGUACUGUAGAGGGGGUAGAAUUUCAGGUGUAGCGGUGAAAUGCGUAGAGAUCUGAAGGAAUACCGGUGGCGAAGGCGGCCCCCUGGACAGAUACUGACACUCAGAUGCGAAAGCGUGGGGAGCAAACAGGAUUAGAUACCCCUGGUGG
This 213-nucleotide ribosomal RNA is filed under the name uncultured bacterium. Its description in RNAcentral is "partial 16S ribosomal RNA". It matches the Rfam family "Bacterial small subunit ribosomal RNA", at positions 582 to 793 of the family's 1533-position model. The record is from RNAcentral.